This 339-nucleotide long non-coding RNA is filed under the name Citrus x clementina. RNAcentral's name for it is "Citrus clementina (C. clementina) long non-coding RNA (CCLE_LNC001822)". The record is from RNAcentral. Lineage: Eukaryota; Viridiplantae; Streptophyta; Magnoliopsida; Sapindales; Rutaceae.
UAGAAUUGACAAGAAUAAAAUUGUCAAAAAAAUAGGGUUUGUGCUUUUUGCGCCAACAAUUUUAAUUUUUUUUUAGUUAUUUCCGUCUACAAACUGUUGUUAAGGGUAAUAUUGUCUUUGCACAGUCAACUAACGGUCAAUGUUAAAGUUAACUGACGGUAGGGGUUUUUUUUACAAAUAAAUAAAUUCUCGUCAUCUACUUGCAACAAGCCCAAACCUCAGGGGAGGUUUUUAAAAAUUACCCAAGUUCCAAGUGCCAUCAAUCAUUUGGGGGUGUGAUUACGUGUAGCAUUGAGGAAUGAAAAUGAAAAAUAAAAAUUAUUAAUAGAGUUUAUUUGU